This 253-nucleotide ribosomal RNA is filed under the name uncultured bacterium. Its description in RNAcentral is "partial 16S ribosomal RNA". It matches the Rfam family "Bacterial small subunit ribosomal RNA", at positions 524 to 776 of the family's 1533-position model. The record is from RNAcentral.
UACGAAGGGGGCUAGCGUUGUUCGGAAUUACUGGGCGUAAAGCGCACGUAGGCGGCUUUGUAAGUUAGAGGUGAAAGCCUGGAGCUCAACUCCAGAAUUGCCUUUAAGACUGCAUCGCUUGAAUCCAGGAGAGGUGAGUGGAAUUCCGAGUGUAGAGGUGAAAUUCGUAGAUAUUCGGAAGAACACCAGUGGCGAAGGCGGCUCACUGGCCCGGUACUGACGCUGAGGUGCGAAAGCGUGGGGAGCAAACAGG